Molecule: ribosomal RNA, 553 nt
Filed under: uncultured archaeon
Lineage: Archaea
Description: bacterial SSU rRNA
Rfam family: Archaeal small subunit ribosomal RNA
Source: RNAcentral
ACGGGGUGCAGCAGGCGCGAAAACUUUACAAUGCGGGAAACCGCGAUAAGGGGACACCGAGUGCCAGCAUUUAUGUUGGCUGUCCACAUGUGUAAACGGCAUGUGUUAGCAAGGGCCGGGCAAGACCGGUGCCAGCCGCCGCGGUAACACCGGCGGCCCGAGUGGUAAUCACUUUUAUUGGGUCUAAAGGGUCCGUAGCCGGUUUGAUCAGUUCUUCGGGAAAUCUGACAGCUCAACUGUUAGGCUUCCGGGGAAUACUGUCAGACUUGGGACCGGGAGAGGUAAGAGGUACUACAGGGAUAGGAGUGAAAUCUUGUAAUCCCUGUGGGACCACCAGUGGCGAAGGCGUCUUACCAGAACGGGUCCGACGGUGAGGGACGAAAGCUGGGGGCACGAACCGGAUUAGAUACCCGGGUAGUCCCAGCCGUAAACGAUGUUCGCUAGGUGUCAGGGGCGGUGCGACCGCUUCUGGUGCCGUAGGGAAGCCGUGAAGCGAACCACCUGGGAAGUACGGCCGCAAGGCUUAAUUUUAAAGGAAUUGGCGGGGGAGCAC